UACAGAGGUCCCAAGCGUUGUUCGGAUUCACUGGGCGUAAAGGGUGCGUAGGUGGCUGGGAAAGUUUGAUGUGAAAGCUCAGGGCUCAACCCUGAAAUGGCAUUGAAUACUACUUAGCUGGAGGUUUGGAGGGGGGACUGGAAUUCUCGGUGUAGCAGUGAAAUGCGUAGAUAUCGAGAGGAACACCAGUGGCGAAGGCGAGUCCCUGGACAACACCUGACACUGAGGCACGAAAGCUAGGGGAGCAAACAGG
Molecule: ribosomal RNA, 253 nt
Filed under: uncultured bacterium
Lineage: Bacteria
Description: partial 16S ribosomal RNA
Rfam family: Bacterial small subunit ribosomal RNA
Source: RNAcentral